This 915-nucleotide ribosomal RNA is filed under the name uncultured archaeon. RNAcentral's name for it is "bacterial SSU rRNA". It matches the Rfam family "Archaeal small subunit ribosomal RNA", at positions 1 to 922 of the family's 1478-position model. The record is from RNAcentral.
UUCCGGUUGAUCCCGCCGGACCUGACUGCUAUCGGAUUGAUACUAAGCCAUGUGAGUCUUUGUAGCAAUACAAGGCAGACGGCUCAGUAACACGUAGUCAAUCUAACCUAUGGACGAGGAUAACCUCGGGAAACUGAGAAUAAUACUCGAUAGAACAUUAUGCCUGGAAUGGUUUAUGUUCUAAAUGAUUCGUUCGCCGUAGGAUGGGACUGCGACCUAUCAGUUUGUUGGUGAGGUAAUGGCCCACCAAGACUAUUACAGGUACGGGCUCUGAGAGGAGAAGCCCGGAGAUGGGUACUGAGACACGGACCCAGGCCCUAUGGGGCGCAGCAGGCGAGAAAACUUUGCAAUGUGCGAAAGCACGACAAGGUUAAUCCGAGUGGUUCCUGCUAAAGGAACCUUUUGUCAGUCGUAAAAUCACUAGCGAAUAAGGGGUGGGCAAGUUCUGGUGUCAGCCGCCGCGGUAAAACCAGCACCUCAAGUGGUCAGGAUGAUUAUUGGGCCUAAAGCAUCCGUAGCCGGCUCUGUUAGUUUUCGGUUAAAUCUGUACGCUCAACGUACAGGCUGCCGGGAAUACUGCAGAGCUAGGGAGUGGGAGAGGUAGACGGUACUCGGUAGGAAGGGGUAAAAUCCUUUGAUCUAUUGAUGACCACCUGUGGCGAAGGCGGUCUACCAGAACACGUCCGACGGUGAGGGAUGAAAGCUGGGGGAGCAAACCGGAUUAGAUACCCGGGUAGUCCCAGCUGUAAACUAUGCAAACUCAGUGAUGCAUUGGCUUGUGGCCAAUGCAGUGCUGCAGGGAAGCCGUUAAGUUUGCCGCCUGGGAAGUACGUACGCAAGUAUGAAACUUAAAGGAAUUGGCGGGGGAGCACCACAAGGGGUGAAGCCUGCGGUUCAAUUGGAUUCAACGCCGGA